GAAGGGGUGAGAGAGGCGGUGACUCAGGCAGUGCGAGCCGCCAUUAUCCGCUGCUGUCUCUCUUUCUCGCGCGCGCUCUCUCUCUCUCCCUUUCCACCAUUGUUAAGAUCCUGCAGCAACCAUGUUGGCCGAGGAGGACGUGCAGGAAGAGUCCAUGAUGGAGGCAUCCGCUUGUGAGCAAGAGGGUACCGGGCGCAGCGAAGGGGUGAAGAUUGAUGCCAGCAAGACGGAGGAAGACGAGGGGAAAAUGUUUAUUGGAGGACUUAGCUGGGACACAACAAAAAAAGACCUGAAGGAUUACUUUUCAAAAUUUGGAGAAGUUGUUGACUGCACUCUGAAACUGGAUCCUAUAACUGGGAGAUCGAGGGGCUUUGGCUUUGUGUUAUUUAAAGAAGCUGAAGGUGUUGACAAGGUUAUGGAACAGAAAGAACACAAGCUAAAUGGCAAAGUUAUUGAUCCCAAAAGGGCAAAAGCUAUGAAAACAAAAGAACCCGUUAAGAAGAUAUUUGUGGGUGGUUUGUCUCCAGACACCCCUGAAGAGAAGAUCAGGGAAUACUUUGCAACGUUUGGAGAGAUUGAAGCAGUUGAACUCCCCAUGGACAACAAAACAAAUAAAAGGCGUGGAUUCUGCUUCAUUACAUUCAAGGAAGAAGAACCAGUAAAGAAAAUAAUGGAAAAGAAAUACCAUAAUGUUGGCCUUAGUAAAUGCGAAAUUAAAGUUGCCCUUUCUAAAGAACAGUAUCAACAGCAGCAGCAGUGGGGUGGAACAAGAGGUGGUGGGUCCUCAACAAGAUCCCGUGGGAGAGGAGGUGGGGCAACACAAGGCUGGAAUCAAGGAUAUAGCAGCUAUUGGAAUCCAAGUUACAGCGGAUAUGGAUAUAACAAUCAAGGCUACGGAGGCUAUGGAAACUAUGACUACAGCGGUUAUAACUACUAUGGAUAUGGAGAUUACAAUACUGUCAGCCAAUCAAAUCCCAGACGCCUGCACUGACUAACCUGUUCACAAGAAAAGGCUUUAUCGAGUGGUUAUGGGAAAACAGCCAGACGAGGUGGUCAUCAAAAUAGUUACAAACCGUACUAAAUUAUUGCAAUUCCAACGUGUCUCAAACAGCGGGGAAUUCAUUGCAGGCCCUGUGUCGCGCUGACUUCACGAUUCUCACAGGCCGCUCAAUGCGGACAGGGUACGAGAUGCUCACGCUCUCGAAUGCUGCCGUUUGGUAUGGUCUCUUCCAACAUCCUGUAUCAGCAUUUUAAAAUACAAUGGAUACUCCCACCUAUGCUUUCACUUAUUCCUUUGCUUUAAAAAAAAAAAAAAGUAAUUGUAAUUUUAAUACAUUUUUUACAGGCCCCGUAAUCAUUAGCUAUGUGAACUUUACUGAAUAAUUUAACUAUUUGUUCUUCUAAGGAUACAGCUGGAUUUUCAUAUUUGUUUUCUCCAUAUUAUUAAUCUAUAUUAAUGCUUGCUUUUCCCGUGGUUUUUGUUUUUGUCUAAAGUAGCCAUAAUUUCAGAAAGUUCUUGGGCUGAAUUCCUGUUGUGUAUCAAUUUUUUUAAAUACAGGUUUACCUGCGGAGGAAAUGUAAUGCUUAAAGCCUGUGUGGAGCACGUGAAUUUUAUACCUGCGUAAAAAUGUAUUUUCACGUCCUAUACUAAUUUUUGUCUUUGCUGUGAAGGAAUAUUUUGUGUUCCUUACGUUAAAAGAUCGUCAUAAUUCCAAAACCAGUUGGUUUUCUUUGAAAAGAUCUUGGUGCACAUGAGGAUUUCAUAGCUCUUGGACAUUAGCUCUCCUAAUAUUAUAGUUGAUCAUAUAUAUAUUUUCCGUAAUUUGAUGCAGAAGGAAUAGUGUUAAAUGUAAUAUGGAUAUUGCAGCUGCAGGUUUUUCAGUGAUUUCUAAUGUGUCUUUUCUUUUUGUUAUAGGUGGACAAACAGUAUUUUUCUGGGUUGAAGAUUCAUUUGAGGUGGCUCAUUCUGCAUGUCUUAUAGCAGUGCAAAUGAAGUUUUGUAAAAUAAUUUUUUUUUUUUUUUUUUUUUUAGACCCCUCUUUAAAGGGAAUUAGUUUGACAUUAAUUUUUAGAAUUUAUCUAGUCUAAUUUCAUACCAGCUUUGCCCAUUAUAUAGUGUUAACAUUAUUUCACCAGCAUGGAAGAUGGAAUCUUGUGUUGAGCCGUGUAUGCCUGCGUCAUAAUGUAGUAUUUUUUUUAUUUUAUAUAUUUUUUUUUUUUGAUUUUUUUUUUUCCUCCUU
Molecule: RNA transcript, 2240 nt
Organism: Pelobates fuscus (common spadefoot toad)
Lineage: Eukaryota; Metazoa; Chordata; Amphibia; Anura; Pelobatidae
Gene name: heterogeneous nuclear ribonucleoprotein D0-like
Exons: 9
Source: RefSeq, a predicted model, not a curated record